Molecule: long non-coding RNA, 6571 nt
Organism: Cercocebus atys (sooty mangabey)
Lineage: Eukaryota; Metazoa; Chordata; Mammalia; Primates; Cercopithecidae
Exons: 2
Source: RefSeq, a predicted model, not a curated record
AACUUUUUUCUGAAUGUGGGAGGAGAGAGAGGAAGGUACCAUUACUAUGAAAAUUCCAGUUUCCAAGCAAAGGAAAAUCUAUCGUUUUGAUGAUUGCUUCCUUCCCCAUUCAACGCUACCAUGGGUUUCAGAAUGGACUCUGAGAUUUGUCACGAAGUUAUUCUUCUCUAUUUCUGAUUAUCUUUUGGUCUUCUUUGAAAACUUCUCCAACUGUUACAAGAGGAUAACACUAGUAGUGACCUCACAAGAUUGUGGGGAGGAUAAUUGAGGUAUUUAAUAUAAGAUACAUAGAACAGUGCCCAGCACACUUUGCUAUUUUAAAAUGUUAGCUAUCUUAUUGUUUAUGGAUUUAACUAUUUAAUAUUCACAGGAUAAACAGGAAAGUUUUACCUGUUCUUAUCUCUUCCAACUGCCUUUUGUACUUUACAUUGAAAAUAAAUUUGUAUAAAAGACAGAAGGUGAUUUACCAAGGGAAACCCAGUAUAUUAAUUACCUUCUCUAUUAAGUUCUACUAUAGGUAAUUUAUGCAUAUCUUAUUUAGUUCAUGAUUUAUAUAAUAUUGGCAUUAUUAUUCUCAUUUAUGAAGAAACCAAGACAGAGAGAAAAAAGGGAUUUAGCUUAUGGAACACAUAGAUAAAUAACAGAGAUAAGGCUCAAACCCAGAUCUAACUUCACAGUUUUGUAUUCUUUCCAGAGUGCUUAAGAAUUUAAUUUCAGCAUAUACUUGGAAACACUGCUAUUCUAACAUUAUUUUUGCCAACUUUUGCUAAUAUUUUGAAUCAUUUUAAGAACCUGGGUAUUCUUCAGUUCUAUAUGUUUUUAACAAUUGACCAGAAGAUAGUACUGGUCUGUCUCCAAUCAAAUACUGAACACUCACUGUCCAUUGACAAAGAUUUCUGCUUGACCAAAUUUUAGUCGGGCAUCUGAACUUUCUCAUGCCUCUUUUCCCCUAUCCUUGUAAAAUCCAGCUUUAGCAAUAACUCCCUAUGCUACCCUUGUUAUCAGUGUGAGUUCCUCAUCCUCCACCAUCCCCCUGGGUCUGAUCACCUGGUCUUUCUUCUGCAAGAAUCCUGCUGGGUCAGUUGAGUCAGGAUCUCCCUCACCCCUGAUGCUUCCUCUUAGUUAUUUUCCAUCCAUUGAGCCUCACCCUGGUUCUAGGCUGUACAUUCCCAACUUGCUGUGUUUAGAGUUGAGGCCAAUUUCUCUCCCUGGCUGUGAAACCUCAGGUGCAGUGCUCCCUGAACCUAUUGCAAUGGUCCUAAAUAAACAUUACCUUCGUUUGGAACACUAUUCUAUAGAUAUUCGAGGCUUGGUUAUGUGUUACCAUAGUACUAAAUGUAGAGAAUAUAAUGAUGUACUGUUUAACAGAUUCUAUUACUAUCCCUGUUUUGCAUCGAGAAAACUGAGGCACAGAGAGGUUAAGUAACUUGACCACAAUCAUACAGAUAUGUAGCAGCAAAACUUGGUUUUGAACCCAACCAUUCUGGCCCUAACAUCAGCACUAAUUGCACUUCCUCUCCUGUGGAAGAUAAACCUGUAAACCUGACAACUGAAAUAUAAGAAAAAGCAGUUAUUGUAAGAGGAUUAGAAUGAGAUGGAGAAUCUGAGCUGGGCUUGGUGGGGCUAACCCACACUUGAGGGAGGGGACCUUAAGGAGAAGGAAACAGGAGACGGAAGAAAGAUUUCUUCAGGCUGAAGGAGCAUAAAGAGGUUAUUAAGCCCAAGGAGUAGGAGAGGGGUGAGCAGGCCAUUAGAACCUUGUUGGCUGGAGAAAGGAGUAUGGGGUCUUUACUUUAAAGGCAGUUAAACAGUGAAUUACAUGGUAGACAUGGUAAGACUGUGUUUAGAGAGACCAUUUGGCUUCAGGACAGAGAAAAUAUUGCAGAGUAUGGUACACAAGUUAGAAAGUAAAUAGAGGUUAACGCACAGAGGAAUGACAACCAGAUUUAUGUCCUAAGUCUGGCAACACAGGACAAGGAGCAGGGAAGAACCUAAAGGGUUAGAUUUUGGACAUGUCCAGAUGCCCGUGCUGUUUUCAGGAGAGACAAACAUUCUUAGGGGGCAGUUUUAUUAGGGUCUGAGGCUGACCCUCCUCAUAAUUAUUGUAAUAGGCCAGGUCUCUGAAAAGAAAAGAAGAUGCAAAUAGCUCUAAAAUAUUUCAGGAAAUUCAGAAUGCUUCAGUAUGGCCAUCUUCAAGAUGGAUUACAUGACGAUAACGACUUAGACACAAAACAAGAUCAAACAGUGACAUAAAUACAAUUGAGAAGUGCAAAAUGCUUCAGAGAUGACUAGAAUUUGAGAAAGGAAAUAUUAAUAUCCAGUACUGGAAAGUGACAGAUAGAAAAUAGUUGACAGAAAGCAUAAGAGUAAUAAAUUACCAAAGAGAAACAUGGAUGUGCAAAUUAAGAGUUGUUGAUUGGAAAGAAAUUUUUUUUUUUCUUCAAAGAUGGGAAGAUCAUUAUGUUGUGUGCAGACACAUUAGUCAGUUUAUCAAGCCUGCCAAUGCCCUUUCUGAGAAAUUCUGUUCCCACAACCCCUGCUGAGCAGGCAGUGGGCAUACUCCCUGGACUGAGAUACUUGGAAAUGGGCUGGUAGGAUAUUUUACCUAGGGCAAGAGUGUGGAGUUGGCCAGUCUCUGUUGGCCACUCUGGCUAGGGCUGGGGUGGCCAUUUUGUUUCACUGCCAACAAAAGCAGGGACCCUUCCCUCCAGAGAAAGGGAUCAUCUGUCUUACAGAUGGAGUCCAGUUCCUAUUUAUGGAACCCAUCAGGCCCAGCUGGCUCUGGACUCUAUCACACUCCUGUUUCCUCCUCAUAUAUUUCCACAGGCUGGCUUAAGUAGUCUUGUUUCUUUCUAACCAAUUCAUCCAGGGCUAACACAGCUUUACUCAGACACUUAGUGGUUUUAAGAAUACCUAUUAAUAAAUCAUAGAACCUCAGAGUAGGGAGGCCCUGGCCCAACCUUCCUUGCAGAAAUGGCUCUCGACAGCAUUUCUAAUAUGCAAUACUUCUUGAUCAAGUAUGAUUCUCCCCUGAGACAGUGUAUGUCAUGCUUAGAGCUCGCAUUCUAGACAACUCCUUAGAACUCCAGACUCGUAUUGUUGAUCAACAUCUCCGUGACUGCGUUUCAUCUUAGACAUCCAAACUCAAUAUGCCCCAAAUUAACUGAGGCAUUUCCUCCCCAAAUCUGACACUCUUACAGAGCUUCCUUUCCCAGCGAGUGGCAUCACUGCCCUUAGUGACUACCUAGGAUUCCUUUCCUGAUGCUGUGGAAGUCCAGCAGAACGCUAUGUGAAAGCCUCAGAAAAAUGAGCAUCCUGGAAUUUCAGUCAUCUUAAGUUAUAUUUUACUGCCCUAAGUACAAAAAACACAUUCUCAGCAAAGUAAGAAAUCUCAAGCUGGAGGAUUAAAUAUCCAGAAGAGAAAUUUCUCAAGUCUCUCCAGAUUGGCAUGAAUUGAUGGCUAUGGGAUUGCGUCUGUUCAGUGUGUAGCCCUGCCAGUUUUCAGUGAGACCUAACUGGGGGCUUGCAGAUACUUAUACCCCUUAAACACAUCAUUCUGAAACUCUAGCACAAUUAACUUACAUACUUGUAAACAACCACCACAAUACGUCUUUAGAAAGCCAAAUCACUAGAAUAAUAUCUAGUUAUAUUUUCUUAUGCCACAGUUACAUCUUGCUCCAUUGUCCAGAAGUUACAUAACAGUAACUAGGUGUCCUAUGCAAACAUCGUAUUAAACUAACAAUGGACAGUGCCUACCCUGGUGCAGUGCAUUAUCUUCCAUGCCAGAUGACCGAAUGUGCACAUGACAGGCCUUGCCAGGGAUUUCUGCAGUCUUCGUGCUCUCCCUUGCCUCCCAGAUUCAAAUCACCGUGAUUUGGGUUUAUCUCCUCAAACUCUUGCAAGUCUGUCACUGUAUUUUUAAACCCACUGCUAUCACCUUGAUCCAUUUCACUGUCAUUUCUCCUCUGAAACAUGAGAAUAAUUUCCUAACUCUGUUUUCACCAUCCACUUCCCAUCCACUCUCUACAUUGCAGGAAGAGUGAUCUCUUACAAAUUUGCUCAUAUUAUACAUGCAUGCAUACACACACACACUUGGCUUAAAACACUUCAGUGGACUCUCACUGCUCAUAGGCUAACAAGUGAAAAAUCUUAACAUGGCCCACAAGCCCUACGUUGUCUGGAUUUUCCUUACCUCUGAUCUUAAUCGUGCCUUCCUUUCAGCUCUCACACAUGCCACUCCUGUGCCAGCCCUUCUCCUGCUCAUCCUCAAGAGCGCAAGUCAAGCAUCACUCCCUCAGGGGAGGCUUUCCUCAUCAUUUGAACUAGCUCAGGUUCCUCCUAUUACAUGCUCUUGUAGCAUCCUGAAUCUUCCCUUCAUAGCAUUGUUAACUGUUGCAACUUUGCAUAUAUUUGUGGGGUUAUUUGAUUCAUUUAUUUUCCUCACUAGAAUAUUAACUGCACAAAGAGAAGAAUGUUUUUUCCUAUUGUUUUGUUCACUGCUAAUCCCAUUGGUAGGAUGAUGCUGACAACGUUUAGGUCUAUAAUAAACAGGUGUUGAAGAAGUGAAAGAAUGCUCACCAUUCAAACUCUGGCACCUAGCUCAAAGAUUGGAGCCCGCCACCACUGAAUGAAUAUGUGACAGAAGAAAGAUGUUCAGGAGCAGGAUGGAGGUGACAGUUCAGUGGGAUGCAGGGACCAAGACAAGUGGCAUGCCAUAUGAUGAGUGACCAGAAAUGUUAGAAAGAAUGGAAGAUGUUUCCUGCAGCUUCGCUACUCUGGAGGGUGGAAUGAAUUGUGACAAAUGUCAACUUUCAUGGCUCAAUGAGCCCUUUCCUGAGCCUGUCAACAGUGAACUAAAGAAAUAGAAUCUCUCUCUCUCCAGUCAACAGUAGAACAGUGCUUGCGUUCCCAAUAUUUAUGGAUAUGUUUAUACAAUUCUCACAAACAUGACACCAACGGCCUGGGAUCAACUCAGACAAGCGGUAAAGAAAAACAAAAUGAUUCUUUGAAAGGAUGCAUAUUUAAAAAAAUAAAAUAAAAGAUGUGCUUCAACUGAGAUCUACAUGAUGUAGCAAACAAAAACAGGUAUGAAAAUCCCUUGAACUAAGUUUCACUGGAUUAACAUACCAGAUCAAUUCUCAUUAAUCACAACAGUUAUGUUCUAUCAAGUCACUUUGAAUACUGGAAUCACGGGUACUGAGUCCUUGUUCCUUUGAGCCACUGCUCCUAGGGGAAACACAGGCUUAGGUUUCUGUGAGCCUCUGGUCAUGACAUUUUUGUCAACUGAUCAAUAUAUAACUUUGUUUUUUGUGUGUUUCUCUUUAAAGACAUUUUAAUAAAUAGUAUUGAUUCAUUAAUAUUGAUCUCAUAGCCAACAGGACUGUACCUCAUGUAUGAUGAAACUUAUUUAACACAUAUUUUCUCUAUAAGGCACAUGUCAGCCUUCCUAUGCUUAAAAACACUGGACAGCACUUCAGGACUAUAGUUGGGGGCGAUUUUAAACAGCAAAAUCAAAGGACAAAAGUGCAAAAAAUGUGGCAAUUAAUAGACCACGAAGAAAGAUGCUUGUUUACGAUAAGAGCUGAAACAAGGUGGCAGAACAUCACCUGGUUCUACCUCAGCUGGGAGUACAUAUGUUGGAUGACUCCAAUUUCUUACUGCUCUACACAUGUCCAUAAAUAAAUGUGUAAACACAGUGAAUGUUGAUUCUGGGUUACAAAUAAAGUUCAGAAAGAGGCAAAUUCACAAGUAUGGAAUUUGUGAAUAAUGAGGGUCAACUAUAAAUAUGAAUCUCAAACUUAUAAUUUGCAAUUCCUUUCACAUAUGUUGGAGUGAAUAGGAAACUAGAGCAUUUAUUUGACAUAACUGGGACUCAUACCAGGAUCCUCUAUGAAUGGCACAAUUAGCUCUUUGAGUUGGUGGAAUCGCUGAUUGGAUUGGUGAAGGGAUUAGGAUUAAGUAGCUCAAAGGCAAGGCCACUGUGUAAUACAUAUCUCCUUGUUUAGUUGGGAAAACACUAGAAGUCGGCUAACAUAGCUGAAAGAAACCAGAAUAUCUCAACUCCUUUGGCAUAUUUUGAGGUGCCUAUUCCGAGGGGCUGCAGAUCACAAAAACAGCCUUGAAAAGCUGCCCUUUUGCUGGGGAGAUUUGCAUCUGGAGAGGAAAUCCACAUUAGUAAAAUGAAGUAAACAACAGAUGCAAACAGACUUUCUCUGAGGACCUCUUAUCUGGAUCUAGGAAAGAUUAACUCACAGGAAAAGGAGGCUGAAGUCUGACAAUAUAAGAUUCUCAUAGAGAAGCUUUUACCACAAGCUCCCAUCUAUUCCUUCUGAGAGCUGCUACCUGAGAGGUUUCCCUCUGCCUAACAGGACCCCUUCACUCCCAGGCCUUUCCUCCUUUCUCCCUCCCAUAACCCCUUCCUGACAUGUUCAAAGUCCCUAUUCUUCCUGUCCUGCAAGGCUAGUAUAAAAACUUCAGUCAUCUAAGCCCUUCUUCUGAGUCUCAUUCUUUGUGUAUAACUCCCAUGUCCAUACAUGUGUUAAUAAAUGUGUAUACCUUUUUUUCCUGUUAA